GACCACGAUCCAACCCUAAAUACUAAUACCAGAUCGAUAGUGCACAAGUACCGUGAGGGAAAGGUGAAAAGAACUGAGGUGAUCAGAGUGAAAUAGAACCUGAAACCAUUUGCUUACAAUCAUUCAGAGCCCUAUGUAGCAAUACAGGGUGAUGGACUGCCUUUUGCAUAAUGAGCCUGCGAGUUGUGGUGUCUGGCAAGGUUAAGCAAACGCGAAGCCGUAGCGAAAGCGAGUCUGAAUAGGGCGCUUAGUCAGAUGCUGCAGACCCGAAACGAAGUGAUCUAUCCAUGAGCAAGUUGAAGCUAGUGUAAGAACUAGUGGAGGACUGAACCCAUAGGCGUUGAAAAGCCCCGGGAUGACUUGUGGAUAGGGGUGAAAGGCCAAUCAAACUUCGUGAUAGCUGGUUCUCUCCGAAAUAUAUUUAGGUAUAGCGUUGUGUCGUAAUAUAAGGGGGUAGAGCACUGAAUGGGCUAGGGCAUACACCAAUGUACCAAACCCUAUCAAACUCCGAAUACCUUAUAUGUAAUCACAGCAGUCAGGCGGCGAGUGAUAAAAUCCGUCGUCAAGAGGGAAACAACCCAGACUACCAGCUAAGGUCCCUAAAUCUUACUUAAGUGGAAAACGAUGUGAAGUUACUUAAACAACCAGGAGGUUGGCUUAGAAGCAGCCAUCCUUUAAAGAAAGCGUAAUAGCUCACUGGUCUAGUGAUUUUGCGCGGAAAAUAUAACGGGGCUAAAGUAAGUACCGAAGCUGUAGACUUGCACACAACUUAGAUUAUUUAAGUUUAGAAUAUGAGAAACUAAGUUAUAUGUUUAGUUAUAUUUUUACUGAUUUUUAUAGAGUAAAGAUAGAAAUAAAACUUAGUAAAAUCAGUAAAAAUAUUCUUAGACUAAAGUUAAGUAGUUUAAGUUGUGUGCAAGUGGUAGGAGAGCGUUCUAUUUGCGUCGAAGGUAUACCGGUAAGGAGUGCUGGAGCGAAUAGAAGUGAGCAUGCAGGCAUGAGUAGCGAUAAUUAAUGUGAGAAUCAUUAACGCCGUAAACCCAAGGUUUCCUACGCGAUGCUCGUCAUCGUAGGGUUAGUCGGGUCCUAAGUCGAGUCCGAAAGGGGUAGACGAUGGCAAAUUGGUUAAUAUUCCAAUACCAACAUUAGUGUGCGAUGGAAGGACGCUUAGGGCUAAGGGGGCUAGCGGAUGGAAGUGCUAGUCUAAGGUCGUAGGAGGUUAUACAGGCAAAUCCGUAUAACAAUACUCCGAGAACUGAAAGGCUUUUUGAAGUCUUCGGAUGGAUAGAAGAACCCCUGAUGCCGUCGAGCCAAGAAAAGUUUCUAAGUUUAGCUAAUGUUGCCCGUACCGUAAACCGACACAGGUGGGUGGGAUGAGUAUUCUAAGGCGCGUGGAAGAACUCUCUUUAAGGAACUCUGCAAAAUAGCACCGUAUCUUCGGUAUAAGGUGUGGUUAGCUUUGUAUUAGGAUUUACUCCGAAAGCAAGGAAACUUACAACAAAGAGUCCCUCCCGACUGUUUACCAAAAACACAGCACUCUGCUAACUCGUAAGAGGAUGUAUAGGGUGUGACGCCUGCCCGGUGCUCGAAGGUUAAUUGAUGGGGUUAGCAUUAGCGAAGCUCUUGAUCGAAGCCCGAGUAAACGGCGGCCGUAACUAUAACGGUCCUAAGGUAGCGAAAUUCCUUGUCGGUUAAAUACCGACCUGCAUGAAUGGCGUAACGAGAUGGGAGCUGUCUCAAAGAGGGAUCCAGUGAAAUUGUAGUGGAGGUGAAAAUUCC
Molecule: ribosomal RNA, 1779 nt
Filed under: Campylobacter coli
Lineage: Bacteria; Pseudomonadati; Campylobacterota; Epsilonproteobacteria; Campylobacterales; Campylobacteraceae
Description: partial 23S ribosomal RNA
Rfam family: Bacterial large subunit ribosomal RNA
Source: RNAcentral